GCUGAAAAUGGUGCUGCUCAUUCGGACUGGAGGUGCUGGGGGUUUGUCUUCGGGGUCACAGUUGUCACACAUGGUAGGGGUAGUAGAAGGAUGACAACCAAGCACCAGGCAAGACGUCAAUCACAUCGGUGGUGUGGAAAAAGUAUUUUCGGCCCUAGGAUUAUUGGGCUUUGGCGAAGGGGAAACGGAACUGCAGACCAAGCCCUGCCCAGCCCAGCAUAACCCACAACAGACUGAUCAAACGGACCGGCUCUGAAGACCCAGCAUGACCCACCACUGAUUGAUCUAACGGACCACUGUAUUCACUGUACAUCACUGUAUUGCUAUUAUACUACACUAUUAUACUGUUAUAUUAUUCUCCAUUUGGCAAAGGAAAAAAAUCUAUGCAUCUUGAAACUUAAGAAUCAAAUACCUCAAUGUUGAAUAAAUGCCUAAAGGAUUGUUGGUAGUGUAGGCCUAUUGCAAAUAAUUGGAUGGAAAAAUGGUUUGGAGAAAUUACGACACAAAAAAAUUAACAAUU
Long non-coding RNA from Gadus macrocephalus (Pacific cod), 520 nucleotides. RefSeq lists it as uncharacterized. The record is from RefSeq and is a predicted model, not a curated record. Lineage: Eukaryota; Metazoa; Chordata; Actinopteri; Gadiformes; Gadidae. The transcript has 2 exons.